This 496-nucleotide ribosomal RNA is filed under the name uncultured bacterium. RNAcentral's name for it is "partial 16S ribosomal RNA". It matches the Rfam family "Bacterial small subunit ribosomal RNA", at positions 28 to 507 of the family's 1533-position model. The record is from RNAcentral.
GAUGAACGCUGGCGGCGUGCCUAAUACAUGCAAGUCGAGCGAACAGACGAGGAGCUUGCUCCUCUGACGUUAGCGGCGGACGGGUGAGUAACACGUGGAUAACCUACCUAUAAGACUGGGAUAACUUCGGGAAACCGGAGCUAAUACCGGAUAAUAUAUUGAACCGCAUGGUUCAAUAGUGAAAGACGGUUUUGCUGUCACUUAUAGAUGGAUCCGCGCCGCAUUAGCUAGUUGGUAAGGUACGGCUUACCAAGGCAACGAUGCGUAGCCGACCUGAGAGGGUGAUCAGCCACACUGGAACUGAGACACGGUCCAGACUCCUACGGGAGGCAGCAGUAGGGAAUCUUCCGCAAUGGGCGAAAGCCUGACGGAGCAACGCCGCGUGAGUGAUGAAGGUCUUCGGAUCGUAAAACUCUGUUAUUAGGGAAGAACAAAUGUGUAAGUAACUAUGCACGUCUUGACGGUACCUAAUCAGAAAGCCACGGCUAACUACGUG